GACGAACGCUGGCGGCGUGCCUAAUACAUGCAAGUAGAACGCUGAAGGAGGAGCUUGCUCUUCUGGAUGAGUUGCGAACGGGUGAGUAACGCGUAGGUAACCUGCCUGGUAGCGGGGGAUAACUAUUGGAAACGAUAGCUAAUGCCGCAUAAGAGUAGAUGUUGCAUGACAUUUACUUAAAAGGUGCAAUUGCAUCACUACCAGAUGGACCUGCGUUGUAUUAGCUAGUUGGUGGGGUAAUGGCUUACCAAGGCGACGAUACAUAGCCGACCGGAGAGGGGGAUCGGCCGCACUGGGACUGAGACACGGCCCAGACUCCUACGGGAGGCAGCAGUAGGGAAUCUUCGGCAAUGGACGGAAGUCUGACCGAGCAACGCCGCGUGAGUGAAGAAGGUUUUCGGAUCGUAAAGCUCUGUUGUAAGAGAAGAACGAGUGUGAGAGUGGAAAGUUCACACUGUGACGGUAUCUUACCAGAAAGGGACGGCUAACUACGUG
This 495-nucleotide ribosomal RNA is filed under the name uncultured bacterium. RNAcentral's name for it is "partial 16S ribosomal RNA". It matches the Rfam family "Bacterial small subunit ribosomal RNA", at positions 28 to 507 of the family's 1533-position model. The record is from RNAcentral.